AUCGGCAUAUGUGAUAUGAAAAAGUAUAUUUUAUUAUGAGCAUUGAUUUCAUGAAUAUGUCUUAUAAAAAUGGCAUGAUUAUGAAUUUCAUUAUUUUUCUAUUUAUGUAUAUGUAUGUUUUAAGAAAAAGAUAAAAAUGAUUUCAAAGGCUCUCAGAUAGCUAUGAAUGAAUCCCUUCGGGAAGGUCGACAUCCGGAGCUAGCAUCCACACGAAACAUGGCCCUGCCAGCGGGUAUAAAGUUGGCACAUGAAUUAAGAACUCUGUCGAUUAAGAAACAUGGCCCU
Molecule: long non-coding RNA, 285 nt
Filed under: Elaeis guineensis (African oil palm)
Lineage: Eukaryota; Viridiplantae; Streptophyta; Magnoliopsida; Arecales; Arecaceae
Description: long non-coding RNA (EGUI_LNC003840)
Source: RNAcentral